Molecule: ribosomal RNA, 253 nt
Filed under: uncultured bacterium
Lineage: Bacteria
Description: partial 16S ribosomal RNA
Rfam family: Bacterial small subunit ribosomal RNA
Source: RNAcentral
UACGUAGGGGGCUAGCGUUGCUCGGAAUGACUGGGCGUAAAGGGCGCGUAGGCGGCGGCCACAGUCAGAUGUGAAAUUCCUGGGCUUAACCUGGGGGCUGCAUUUGAUACGUGGUUGCUUGAGUGGGGAAGAGGGUCGUGGAAUUCCCAGUGUAGAGGUGAAAUUCGUAGAUAUUGGGAAGAACACCGGUGGCGAAGGCGGCGACCUGGUCCUUGACUGACGCUGAGGCGCGAAAGCGUGGGGAGCAAACAGG